Non-coding RNA from Phalacrocorax carbo (great cormorant), 861 nucleotides. NCBI's taxonomy places the organism in Eukaryota, Metazoa, Chordata, Aves, Suliformes, Phalacrocoracidae. The record is from RefSeq and is a predicted model, not a curated record.
CGCCGGGGCCCUUCAGGUGCGUGCUGGUAACCGGCGCUGCUGUGAGAGGCGCCGUGGCUGGUGUUGUGUGCAGGCUCCUGUGUGGUGGCGGCUGCCGUCAAUGCCCGCCCUCCGGUCCCACCCCGGCGGUGCUGCUCUGGGGAGGUGUCUGGUUCCAAGAGGUGUGUAUCCAAGUUGGGUAGCCGGCAUGGCUUGUGUGCAGGAGUAUGCUGCCUGUCCAGUCCUUAUGGUCUCUGUUGAGCCCUUACUGUCUCCUGGCAUCCUCUGGAUUGGUGAUGACAGACUACUUUCUGGGCAGGUCUUUUAUGAUCAGGAGUUAGAAUAAUGUAAUCUGUUGCUUCCCUCCAAUUCUUGACUGCUUCAGCCUCUAUUAAUCUUGGGCAGGGUAGCUCCCUGUUUGCUUUGUUUCCCCGUUUUGGUUAUCUCCAUGCUAUGUUCUGCCCUCCUGUUGUGACAGCAGGGACAGGGAUGGUGUUUACAGUAUGCGCUGACCUCAUUGCCAUCCUCCUGUUCCCAGAGCACAGGCCUUCUGACAAAUCAUCUGUGAGAGCGCCUUAUCACCUUAUCAGAGCGCAGGCCGUCUGCUCUCAGUUUACGCAGCCCAUCCUCAGUGUUUACCAGCUUUGCUGCUCUCAGUUGUGCGCUUGGUCAUUCUUUUAACCCUUGCCUUGCUGCUUUUCUGUUGCUUUCACAUAUACUCUGCUGUUCAGAAUUCACCCCAGUCUUAGUUGUUCUGUUGCAGUCUCUACAUCUGCGGAGCUAGCUCUACAGAGGCGGUAUAUUCCAACUCGCUGCAAAAUAUUUUCGGUUCUUCAGGAGGCACCUCGCGCAGUGGUCGCAAGGGAUGCGACCUGAACGACA